RNAcentral lists this ribosomal RNA (1311 nucleotides) under Triticum aestivum (bread wheat). Its description in RNAcentral is "partial small subunit ribosomal RNA". Lineage: Eukaryota; Viridiplantae; Streptophyta; Magnoliopsida; Poales; Poaceae. The record is from RNAcentral.
AUGGACUCGGAUGACGAGGAAGCGCUCGCCAAGCUGCUGGAGGAGGAAGCCGAGGCCGACGUCCAGGAAGAAGAGCAUCUCAUGGUGCUCGCCGCCCUCGCCCAGCUGCUGGCGAGCAAUGAAAAGCCGCGGCGAGGUGGCUCGGCGCCGGGGUGGGUGAAAGCAAAGAACCGGCAUCGUCUCGAAGGGUACUGCAUGCUCUACUCCGACUACUUCGCCGAUGCUCCACUUCACGGCGACAAAAUAUUUCGGCGCCGUUAUCGGAUGAGCCGAAAGCUCUUCCUCAGGUUUGUGAAUUCCAUCUGGGAGUUCGACAACUACUUCAAGUGCAAGAUGGAUUGCACCGGCAAACUUGGAUUCACCUCGAUCCAGAAGUGCACGACAGUGAUGAGGAUGCUUGCAUACGGAGCUCCCGGUGAUUCACUCGACGACUAUGGGCGCAUGGCCGAGUCCACCAGCAUAGAGUGUUUCUACAAGUUCUGUCGGGCAGUGGUGGCAGUGUUUGGACCGCAAUACUUGAGAACACCCAAUGCGAAAGACACUGCUCGGAUCCUAACACAGAAUGCAGUAAGAGGAUUUUCUGGGAUGCUUGGAAGCAUCGACUGCAUGCAUUGGAAAUGGAAGAAUUGCCCAUUUGCUUGGCAGGUAAUGCACAAAGGCGCCAAAGGCGGUUGCAGUGUGGUACUUGAGGCGGUGGCCACACAUGAUCUCUGGAUUUGGCACUCCUUCUUUGGUAUGCCAGGAACUCACAAUGACAUCAACGUGCUGCAGUGCUCUUCUGUCUUUGCCAAGCUUGUUGAAGGCCAUUCUCCUCCGGUGAACUUCGAGAUCAAUGGGCGGCACUACAACAAGGGGUACUACCUAACUGAUGGCAUCUAUCCGAGAUGGUCUACAUUUGUGAAGACUAUCUCAAACGCUGUGCCAGGAGGCAAGAAGUCCCACUUUGCCAAGGUGCAGGAGGCUUGCCGGAAGGAUGUCGAGCGAGCAUUUGGUGUGCUCCAAUCUCGAUUUGCUGUUGUCCGGUACCCUGCUCAGACCUGGUCGAAAGAUCAAAUGUGGGAGAUCAUAACUUGCUGUGUCAUCUUGCACAACAUGAUCAUCGAGAGCGAGCAAGAAGACCCAGUGUUUGACACUGAACCAUACUACAGGCAGGGUCCUCUAGCCGAAGUUGAUCACCAGCUACCGGUAACCUGGACUGCCUACCUCAGUAUGCGUCAGGAGAUCCGAAACCCACAGGUGCAUCAUCAUCUGCAGCAUGAUCUGGUGGAGCACCUAUGGAGGCUCAAGGACGACGCCGGGCGCGACGUGUGA